This 28-nucleotide small RNA is filed under the name Bombyx mori (domestic silkworm). RNAcentral describes it as "ovarian small RNA-23130". The record is from RNAcentral. Lineage: Eukaryota; Metazoa; Arthropoda; Insecta; Lepidoptera; Bombycidae.
UAGUUCAAUUCACCCGCGAGGGGCGCUA